RNAcentral lists this ribosomal RNA (253 nucleotides) under uncultured prokaryote. RNAcentral's name for it is "partial 16S ribosomal RNA". It matches the Rfam family "Bacterial small subunit ribosomal RNA", at positions 524 to 776 of the family's 1533-position model. The record is from RNAcentral.
UACGUAGGGUGCAAGCGUUGUUCGGAAUCAUUGGGCGUAAAGCGCGUGUAGGUGGUUAGUUAAGUCGGGUGUGAAAUCCCUCAGCUCAACUGAGGAAGUGCAUCCGAAACUGAUUAGCUAGAGGACGGUAAAGGAAGGUGGAAUUCCAAGUGUAGAGGUGAAAUUCGUAGAUAUUUGGAGGAAUACCGGUGGCGAAGGCGGCCUUCUGGGCCGUUCCUGACACUGAGACGCGAAAGCGUGGGGAGCAAACAGG